CGUGAUUCUGCUACAACAUCUUCCAGAAGGUUUGAGCACGGAGCUAUGAACAUGAGCCCAGAAUGUCAGGUAAAAAGCAAUUAAGCAUCCUCUCAUUCAGCCUGGGAGGAAAACCCCCUAAAAAGGCCAGGAUAGAGGAUGCUGGCCAAGAGAAGGUGGCGAAAAGGGUAAGCCCAUUUGAGGAGGAGACCCAGGAGGAGAUGGUGCAGGUGGAAGAGGAAGAGACGGUGGAGGAGAUGGCUCGGGUGUCAGAAGAGACCAUCAAAACAAAAGGGAGAAAAGUACCAGGAGCAGCUACCUACAAUAAUGAAUGGACCUCGAAAUGGCCAUUUAUAACUGUAGGAAGCACCAGCUCCUAUUACUGGUGCUCUAUCUGCUGCCCAGAGACCUCCUGGGCCCAUCAAGGUGUGCGGGGUGUGACGAGGCACAUAGACAGUAAGGGGCAUCAGGACCAACAGCAGGCACUGAAGUCAACCAGCACAGUCAAAAACUUCUACUUGCCAGUGACUGCAGACAUGAAUGUGCAAGAGCUCAAGACAAGGAGGGCCGAGGUGAAAGUUGCCAUAGCAAUGGUUCAACAUAAUGUUUCAUUUGCUGUGGCUGACCAUUUCAGCCCCGUGUACAGGGAAUGCUUUAAAGACUCUCCCACAGCUCAAAAUUUCAAGAGUUUCAGCACAAAAACUACGUCCAUCAUUAAUCAAGCAGUUGCACCACAUUAUAGGAACGAGCUGGUGAUGAAGAUGAGGGAAAAUCCCUUUACGCCGGUCACGGAUGGCUCAAAUGACACAGAUGAGAAACAACCAAGGUUCAGGAGGCUGACGGAAGUCUGCCUCCUGAACCUUCAGGCCACAUUCCCAGUGUUCUCUACACUGAACCUCCUUCUCCAGAGAGGAAAGGCCUCCAUAUUCCAGCUGUAUGAAGAGAAACUCAGUUCGAGGUUCAUGACACCAGCAACACUACGAGGAGAAGUCCAUGACAUCCCCUACAAGGACCCACUGCACCAACUGCCAGAUUUCAGGAACUCCUUCCUUUUCAUGACCCAAAGGAACAGGACCAAGUAGGUGAGGAGUUUAUGGAGUAGGAAGAAUGUCCUCAACAAAGAACAAGUGGACGGUAUAUUUCUAUGUUUUCUCUCAGAGAUUGUGGAUUAACAUGAGUCGAGGAAUCGUCUGAAUGAUCGCCACGGCCCUCAGGAGGAGGACAGGAUUCCAGCCAGAGGACAUCUGCUGUAGCUGCUGGUGAUGAUGCUGCUGCCCCCCCGACCACCGCCACCACCGCUAAUGUUGCCGCCGCUGGUGGUGAUGGUGAUGUCUCUCCCAUGGAGGUGGACCCUCCGGAGACCAUUCACAACGAGGACCAGGACCAGGGGGAACCGAUGGACUGGGAAUGAGACUCUGCGUUCACCCUCAGCCAGCUCAACAGAGACAAGUGGCUAUCGUUGGAUCCGAACACCUGGAUGUUUUUAAUCACCCACAAACUGAGGAGUUUCCUGAGAGCCAGGUCAUCUUCAUACUCUGUGUCACAAAUCACGCGCUUGC
This is an RNA transcript of Perca flavescens (yellow perch), 1538 nucleotides long. RefSeq lists it as uncharacterized. The transcript has 10 exons. Lineage: Eukaryota; Metazoa; Chordata; Actinopteri; Perciformes; Percidae. The record is from RefSeq and is a predicted model, not a curated record.